RNAcentral lists this ribosomal RNA (253 nucleotides) under uncultured bacterium. Its description in RNAcentral is "partial 16S ribosomal RNA". It matches the Rfam family "Bacterial small subunit ribosomal RNA", at positions 524 to 776 of the family's 1533-position model. The record is from RNAcentral.
UACGUAGGGUGCAAGCGUUGUCCGGAAUUAUUGGGCGUAAAGAGCUCGUAGGCGGUUCGUCGCGUCGGCUGUGAAAUCCCGAGGCUCAACCUCGGGUCUGCAGUCGAUACGGGCGGACUGGAGUACUGCAGGGGAGACUGGAAUUCCCGGUGUAGCGGUGAAAUGCGCAGAUAUCAGGAGGAACACCGGUGGCGAAGGCGGGUCUCUGGGCCGAUACUGACGCUGAGGUGCGAAAGCGUGGGGAGCAAACAGG